CGUAUUGUUACUAAGCUGUUUGUUGUUUAAAGCCCUUGUUCAAUUUAUAUAAAUACACGGUUUGUAAUCUUGACAAUCAUCAAAUAGAAAGCAUGCAUUUCAUAGCCUCAUCAAAUCCAAGAAGCUGCCUAAUCUCCAUCUUUAUCAUAGCAAGCAGCAACCACUCUCAAACUCGUAUCUCGGGGGCCAAGUUUUCUUCAGGAAGGGAAAAUAAGUUCCAUUGUUGCAGUCUUGCAGAUGCUGUUGACUACAAAGGGCACCCUGCUGACAAGUCCAAAACUGAUGGUUGGCUUACCGCCGCGCUUAUAAUGGGUGUGUGUGUAGUGUUCUUGUUUUCGUCUAUGAACAAGUAGAAGGUUCAUACAAAUUAAGAAGUUGAAUUAUGUGAUAGGCUUAAACUACGGGAAUAGCAGUGAACCUGAUGGAGACUUUGAGGACAGAAAUGCCAUCGAGGCUGUCUCGGAAGCUAAGAGACCAGUUACAAAGGUGGAGGAGGUGAAAAUGAUGAUAAGACUACUUUCCACAUGGGCCACAACCAUCAUAUUUUGGACUUGUUAUGCACAGAUGAUGACCUUCUCACUCAGUACAACAAGCAUCCACUAUUGGAAGCUUUCAAAUCCCCGCUGCCUCUCGCACUUCUUUGUGUUAGCCAUUAUGAAUCUAUGAUCACUCUGGCUUUCAAUGACCGUGUCAUCAUACCUCUCUGGAAGAAAGGGAAAGGCCAACCAGGUUUCACCCAUCUAUAGAGAAUGGCAAUUGGGCUUGUGCUAUCAACUAUUGGGAUGGGAGCAGCAGCACUCUGUGAGAGGAAGAGGUUAGCAGUGGCUAAAGCCAAUGGUGGACCAAAUCCUCUGCAUAUUAGUGUUUUCUUCUUGCUCCCAAGUAAGUUCAUUCUGGUGGGUUCUGCUAAUGCUUUUGUAUACACCGGCCAGCUCGAUUUCUUCAUAACCGGAUCGCCUAAAGGAAUGAAAACUAUGAGCACAGGCCUCUUCGCCAGCACAUUGUCCUUUGGUUUCUUCUUUAGCAGCCUCUUGGUAUCGAUUGUGAAUAAGGUGACAGGAGGCAAAGAUGGAUAGCUUGCGAGCAGCAUAAACAAUGAGAGGCUUGACACCUACUUCGGCUGCUAAUGCUUACCCUGCUGAGGAUAAGUGCUAGUUGCUAAUUAUAGUUGAACAGAUAUCACUGCAUGUGGCUUUUUUUUGUUCCCACAAUGCACCGCAUUUUUUUAUAGCAAAAGAUACUUCAAAGAAAGCUGUAUUUCAUCAUACAUGCCUAUUUCCUAAUGUUGGAGCUGGUUCUUCACAAGACAGGUUUGAAAAUUGGCCAUGCAAAGAGCUUCCUCUGGUUUGCCUGUCGUUAAUUAAUGGCCAUUGAGAAAGCGAUUUCAUCCCUUUCUUUGUCAUUGAUCACAAAGGAAUUGAUGUUCUGUUUUAUAUUUCUGUCCAAUCUGUAAUUUGCUCCUGUCACAGUAUAAUUUCUCUUUGACAUUUUUAUUAUCAGAAAGCUUAUGCGCUUUUCAUUCAGUCAAAACAUGAGCGCCAUCAUUCUCAUCUAAUUCCUCCGUGAUUUGGGGGAGGAGAAGCAAAUCCCUCGCCAACAUAAAACAGGCGUCCUUUUUUCAAAGCUCAAAUGCAGCGUGGCAUCAAAAGGACUCAAACUGUCAAUUUUUGUUAGCAGUAACUUAGGAAAAGGAGGGUGUUUCUCACUUCAGCUGCUAAUGCAAAAAGACCAAACUUGCCAAAAGACUGAGUCCUGACUAAAAGACUCCCAAUACAAAAAUUCAAAGUAAAUGGCCUUAUGCAUCAGUUAUCAAUCCAAAGUAGUUCAAAGUAUAGCGUGUAACCGACAGUAAUGCAUCAGUUAAAUUCUUCUUCCAAACCGUCUCAAAGCAUCAAAACUGUUUGCCAGAUCAGACAGCUCUCGCUUAAAGAAAAUGAUUAGUUUAGACUUUACACAAAAGUUCCAGAUCACUUUUUUACAAUUUUUU
Prunus persica (peach) is the source of this 1987-nucleotide long non-coding RNA. RefSeq lists it as uncharacterized. The record is from RefSeq and is a predicted model, not a curated record. The transcript has 3 exons. NCBI's taxonomy places the organism in Eukaryota, Viridiplantae, Streptophyta, Magnoliopsida, Rosales, Rosaceae.